UACGGAGGAUGCGAGCGUUAUCCGGAUUUAUUGGGUUUAAAGGGUGCGCAGGCGGCGAGUUAAGUCAGCGGUAAAAUUUCGGGGCUCAACCCCGACAAGCCGUUGAAACUGGCUUGCUAGAGUGGGCGAGAAGUAUGCGGAAUGCGUGGUGUAGCGGUGAAAUGCAUAGAUAUCACGCAGAACUCCGAUUGCGAAGGCAGCUUACCAAGCUACUUCUGACGUUGAGGCACGAAAGCGUGGGGAGCAAACAGG
This 252-nucleotide ribosomal RNA is filed under the name uncultured Bacteroidales bacterium. RNAcentral's name for it is "partial 16S ribosomal RNA". It matches the Rfam family "Bacterial small subunit ribosomal RNA", at positions 524 to 776 of the family's 1533-position model. The record is from RNAcentral. Lineage: Bacteria; Pseudomonadati; Bacteroidota; Bacteroidia; Bacteroidales.